RNAcentral lists this long non-coding RNA (786 nucleotides) under Equus caballus (horse). Its description in RNAcentral is "lncRNA (ENSECAG00000055283.1)". The record is from RNAcentral. Lineage: Eukaryota; Metazoa; Chordata; Mammalia; Perissodactyla; Equidae.
GGACCGGUGGGGGCAGCAGCCAGCUGGCAGUGUACUGAGGAGGUGAGGAAAGGAAGGCAGUGAACGUGAAUAACUUUCCCAAGAAGUUUGGCUGCACAGGGAAAGAGAGAGAGAGGCAAGACCGUAAUUAGAGUGCCAGUUAGAGGGCUGGAAUUUCCUUGCAGAGGCUCAUUCCUGACCACAGCUGGCUCCAUCCAGAGAUGCUUGACUUCGCCCACCCACUAGGGCUGCUACUUGUCCUUCUGUGAGGUGAAGGUCUGUUGGCCACAGUAAGCCUCUGACAGCCCCAAGCCUCCAUUUGGAAGCUUGAGAUCAGCUGGCCCUGCCAUUGCUUACAUCCUGUCAUCCUUGGCAGACCUCAAUGGGCAUCCACCCUUCUCCAGUGCUUCCUCUUCCUGACCACCCUUGCACUGCUCCCCACCUCCCCCUUGGACCACCUUCGGCUCAGAUCGUCCUCGCCUCUCUUUGCUGGUCUGAAACCUGGCUCUUCCCUGAGGACACUUCCUUUAAAGAGGCCACUGCCCAGUGCUCUGAACCUGCCCCCACUCAUCUCUAUCCGUGAAAGGUACUGAGCUCCUGCCAUCAAUCCAUCACUAAGGGGAAAUUUGGAGACAGACUGGCACACAGGGAGAACACCAUGGGAACAUGAAGACAGUCAUCUACAAGCCAAGGAAAGAGGCCCGGAACAGAUUCUCUCACAGCCCUCAGAAGGGACCAGCCCUGCUAGCACCUGGAUCUCGGUCUUCCAGCCUCCAGUACUGUGAGACAAUAAAUUUCUGUUGUUUA